RNAcentral lists this transfer RNA (72 nucleotides) under Ovis aries (sheep). It matches the Rfam family "tRNA". Rfam says of the family: Transfer RNA (tRNA) molecules are approximately 80 nucleotides in length. Their secondary structure includes four short double-helical elements and three loops (D, anti-codon, and T loops). Further hydrogen bonds mediate the characteristic L-shaped molecular structure. tRNAs have two regions of fundamental functional importance: the anti-codon, which is responsible for specific mRNA codon recognition, and the 3' end, to which the tRNAs corresponding amino acid is attached (by aminoacyl-tRNA synthetases). tRNAs cope with the degeneracy of the genetic code in two manners: having more than one tRNA (with a specific anti-codon) for a particular amino acid; and 'wobble' base-pairing, i.e. permitting non-standard base-pairing at the 3rd anti-codon position. Lineage: Eukaryota; Metazoa; Chordata; Mammalia; Artiodactyla; Bovidae. The record is from Rfam by way of RNAcentral.
UCCCUCAUAGCUCAGUCAGUAAAGAAUCUGCCUGCAAUGCAGGAGAUCCGGGUUCAAUUCCUGGGCUGGGAA